Molecule: ribosomal RNA, 626 nt
Filed under: Pseudolarimichthys terengganui
Lineage: Eukaryota; Metazoa; Chordata; Actinopteri; Sciaenidae
Description: partial 16S ribosomal RNA
Rfam family: Bacterial large subunit ribosomal RNA
Source: RNAcentral
GCCUCGCCUGUUUACCAAAAACACCGCCUCUUGCAAAAUUAAUGAAUAAGAGGUCCCGCCUGCCCUGUGACCAUGAGUUCAACGGCCGCGGUAUUUUGACCGUGCAAAGGUAGCGCAAUCACUUGUCUUUUAAAUAAAGACCCGUAUGAAUGGCAAGACGAGGGCUUGACUGUCUCCUUUUUCAGGUCAAUGAAACUGAUCUUUCCGUGCAGAAGCGGGAAUACUUCCAUAAGACGAGAAGACCCUGUGAAGCUUUAGACACCAAGACAGAUCACGUCAAAAUCCCCUUACAAAGGACAAAACUAACCGAACCCUGAUCCUAAUGUCUUUGGUUGGGGCGACCGCGGGGAACUACAAAACCCCCGAGUGGAACGAAAGCACCACCCUGCUUUUACAACCAAGAGCCUCCGCUCUAAUAAACAGAACAUCUGACCAACAAUGAUCCGGCAAUGCCGAUCAACGAACCAAGUUACUCCAGGGAUAACAGCGCAAUCCUCUUUUAGAGUUCAUAUCGACAAGAGGGUUUACGACCUCGAUGUUGGAUCAGGACAUCCUAAUGGUGCAGCCGCUAUUAAGGGUUCGUUUGUUCAACGAUUAAAGUCCUACGUGAUCUGAGUCCAGACCGG